Molecule: ribosomal RNA, 253 nt
Filed under: uncultured bacterium
Lineage: Bacteria
Description: partial 16S ribosomal RNA
Rfam family: Bacterial small subunit ribosomal RNA
Source: RNAcentral
UACGAAGGGGGCUAGCGUUGUUCGGAAUUACUGGGCGUAAAGGGCGCGUAGGCGGCCCUGUCAGUCAAGCGUGAAAGCCCCGGGCUCAACCUGGGAAUUGCGUCUGAUACUGCAGGGCUUGAGGGUCGGAGAGGAUGGUGGAAUUCCCAGUGUAGAGGUGAAAUUCGUAGAGAUUGGGAAGAACACCGGUGGCGAAGGCGGCCAUCUGGACGACAGCUGACGCUGAGGCGCGAAAGCGUGGGGAGCAAACAGG